This 500-nucleotide ribosomal RNA is filed under the name uncultured bacterium. RNAcentral's name for it is "partial 16S ribosomal RNA". It matches the Rfam family "Bacterial small subunit ribosomal RNA", at positions 28 to 507 of the family's 1533-position model. The record is from RNAcentral.
GACGAACGCUGGCGGCGUGCCUAAUACAUGCAAGUCGAGCGGACUUGAAGGAGUGCUUGCACUCCUGAGAGUUAGCGGCGGACGGGUGAGUAACACGUAGGCAACCUGCCCUCAAGACUGGGAUAACUACCGGAAACGGUAGCUAAUACCGGAUAAUUUAUUACAUAGCAUUAUGUGAUAAUGAAAGACGGAGCAAUCUGUCACUUGGGGAUGGGCCUGCGGCGCAUUAGCUAGUUGGUGGGGUAACGGCCCACCAAGGCGACGAUGCGUAGCCGACCUGAGAGGGUGAACGGCCACACUGGGACUGAGACACGGCCCAGACUCCUACGGGAGGCAGCAGUAGGGAAUCUUCCGCAAUGGGCGAAAGCCUGACGGAGCAACGCCGCGUGAGUAAUGAAGGUUUUCGGAUCGUAAAGCUCUGUUGCCAAGGAAGAACGUCUCAUAGAGUAACUGCUAUGAGAGUGACGGUACUUGAGAAGAAAGCCCCGGCUAACUACGUG